Molecule: long non-coding RNA, 1102 nt
Organism: Parus major (Great Tit)
Lineage: Eukaryota; Metazoa; Chordata; Aves; Passeriformes; Paridae
Exons: 2
Source: RefSeq, a predicted model, not a curated record
GGGCGGGAGCGGCGCUGAGGGGAGAGAGGCGGAUUGCGCGGCGCUAAAGGACCAUGUAGGCCAGGUGAGGGUCGGUCUUUUCUCCCAGGUAGUAUCCAGUGAUAGGAUAAGGGGAUAUGGUCUCAAGCUGCGCCAGGGGAGGCUUAGGUUGGACUUGAGGAGGAAUUUCCUCGUGGAAAGAAACGGCGUUGUGGCUGCCCGUGCAGGGUUCGAGUCCUCACUCCUGGACGUGUCCGAGGAACGCCUGGAUAUGGCAUUCAGUGCUGUGGUUUGGGUGACAAAAGGCGAUCAGUGAUAGGUUGGGCACGAUCUCGGAGGUAUUUUCCAACCUUUGUAAUUCUGUGAGUCUGGAGGGACUGGGAGGAAGGGCGUAAGGCGGGAGGUCUGAGGGCAGGGGGAGCGCGGAGGGCGUUGUCGAUUUCAGCAGCUCUGGGAACACGAACACAGAGUUCACUCUAGAAAAGAGACGUGGUUUAUUCAGCGCAGCUUGCAAGAAAGACGUUUCCACUAAUCAACUUCCCAAAGGGUAAAAAGUUAAAUCUGUUAUACAGUAAAAUUCAUAUGAACACGCCCGCUUACUGCAUAUCUCCACCCACCUAAUGCAUUAUUUAGGUGAGGUAAUCUUAACGCACGACUCGAAACAGGUUCUUCACUUACUGCAUAUUCUCCGCCCACCUAAUGCAUAUUUAUUUAGUGAUGUAAUCUUAACGCACGACUUGAAACAGAUUCUUUCCUUCACUAGACAAAGUCCUCUUAUACAAGUAAUGCCACCUAAGUUAAGUUUACGAAAGGCGAGGAAAAAAUUAAAAGAUACAAAAGACUGGGAGUGGGACGAGCGGCAAGACGGGAACGCUGGCCAGAACGGGAAGGGAAGGGCGGAAGGGAGUUGUGACAGCAUCGACCAACAACCGCCACACCAUUUUUUAUUUGAUUGUAUAAAUUCAGUUUAUUUCAGCUUUUAACAGAAGACAAAGCCCUUAGUAAAAAUGCAGUUUUCAACAUACACGUGUUCAUGCUGGUGUGUCUCCAUCGUUACCCAUCACUUUCUUUUUUCUCUUGGGGUAGGGAUGGAGAUAAUUAAACAGUUUACACUGAUCCCAAG